ACGAACGCUGGCGGCGUGCCUCAUCCAUGCAAGUAGAACGCACAGUUUAUACCGUAGCUUGCUACACCAUAGCCUGUGAGUUGCGAACGGGUGAGUAACGCGUAGGUAACCUGCCUGGUAGCGGGGGAUAACUAUUGGAAACGAUAGCUAAUACCGCAUAAUAUUAAUUAUUGCAUGAUAAUUAAUUGAAAGGUGCAAUUGCACCACUACCAGAUGGACCUGCGUUGUAUUAGCUAGUAGGUGAGGUAACGGCUCACCUAGGCGACGAUACAUAGCCGACCUGAGAGGGUGAUCGGCCACACUGGGACUGAGACACGGCCCAGACUCCUACGGGAGGCAGCAGUAGGGAAUCUUCGGCAAUGGACGAAAGUCUGACCGAGCAACGCCGCGUGAGUGAAGAAGGUUUUCGGAUCGUAAAGCUCUGUUGUAAGAGAAGAACGGGUGUGAGAGUGGAAAGUUCACACUGUGACGGUAUCUUACCAGAAAGGGACGGCUAACUACGU
This 503-nucleotide ribosomal RNA is filed under the name uncultured bacterium. RNAcentral describes it as "partial 16S ribosomal RNA". It matches the Rfam family "Bacterial small subunit ribosomal RNA", at positions 29 to 506 of the family's 1533-position model. The record is from RNAcentral.